UGCGGGGACAGAGGAGCGGUGGCUGUAGCCGGGCGAGGCCACCUGAAGAGCUUCCUGUGCACUGCAUUACACCUCACCGUGCUCGUGCUGUUCGUCGCGAGGCGACAUCUGUAGGGCGCGAGGCGACAACACCAGCAACAGGACCACGCACGAGGAACGAGCUCACAUCAUUUGCACUAAGGGGAUGCGGGAGCGUCGGAGGAUGCGAUCCAGGAAAAGCUGUGCAGAAAGACCGACGGAGGAGGGGAAGGAGGAGGAAGCGGGGUUAAAUGUGUGUUUGAAGGUCGGAACUUUGUGUCUGACUUAACUCCAUGAAGACUUUCUCACGCCCGAUGUGGAUGCACUACAGGAGCUUCAGAACGAGCUGACACACUGAACCCCUAGCAGCCCUGCAGUCAGUCAGUUGCACGUCCUGCCCCUGCGUGACUCUCCGAUUCUGUCAUCCCAGUUUCAAAACAGUGAUGUCAUCCUCCCCUGGUAGAGCGGAGGGGAAAGCUAACUAAUAGGACGGCUCUGAAUGUUCACCUCCCACGGUGUAUGAGUGCAAAGGGGUUAAACUGAUCAGACCUUCAAAUGCAUUUAGGCUAAAAUUAGUGUAGCAAUCCUGAAAGAUGCACCGAAAUACACCUGUUUCUGAGCUUCAUAAUACACUGUACCUUUUUUUUUUUUUUUUUUUAAAUAAGCUAUUCUGUAAGAACAAACAUGUAAAUGAGAGGAUGGGUGUUUUUAUAGAUGUUUUCUACAGUGUUUAGAUACAUUCUCCUGUGCUUUAGCAUUAUCUGUUGGGGGCAGUGUUAAGUGGCUUUUUUUUUAUCAUGAACAAGAUACAGGACCUGUGCAUAGGAACCUAUGCUGUUAAUGCUGUCUGUGAUUUAUGGAAAUAAGCUUUCUCUCAUAUAACGUGUAAUGUGAGCAGAAUUACAUUAACUGUCUUUUAUAAAGUGUUUGCUAUUUAUACUUCCUAAAUAUUUCUUAUGGAUUUUUAGCAGUUAAAAUAAUAAAAAUCUUUCUAAAACAAA
Seriola aureovittata is the source of this 1019-nucleotide long non-coding RNA. RefSeq lists it as uncharacterized. NCBI's taxonomy places the organism in Eukaryota, Metazoa, Chordata, Actinopteri, Carangiformes, Carangidae. The record is from RefSeq and is a predicted model, not a curated record. The transcript is spliced from 2 exons.